RNAcentral lists this ribosomal RNA (494 nucleotides) under uncultured bacterium. RNAcentral describes it as "partial 16S ribosomal RNA". It matches the Rfam family "Bacterial small subunit ribosomal RNA", at positions 28 to 507 of the family's 1533-position model. The record is from RNAcentral.
GACGAACGCUGGCGGCGUGCCUAAUACAUGCAAGUAGAACGCUGAAGGAGGAGCUUGCUCUUCUGGAUGAGUUGCGAACGGGUGAGUAACGCGUAGGUAACCUGCCUGGUAGCGGGGGAUAACUAUUGGAAACGAUAGCUAAUACCGCAUAACAGUAGAUGUUGCAUGACAUUUACUUAAAAGGUGCAAUUGCAUCACUACCAGAUGGACCUGCGUUGUAUUAGCUAGUUGGUGGGGUAACGGCUCACCAAGGCGACGAUACAUAGCCGACCUGAGAGGGGAUUCGACCCCACGGGAACUAGACCACGGCCCGACCUCCAACGGAGGGCGCCGUAGGGAAUUCUUCGCCAAUGAACGAAGUCCUACCGAGCCACCGCCCCGGAGGUAAGAAGGUUUUCCGAUCGUAAAGCCUCGUUGUAAGAGAAGAAAGAGUGUUAGAGUGGAAAGUUCACACUGUGACGGUAUCUUACCAGAAAGGGACGGCUAACUACGUG